RNAcentral lists this ribosomal RNA (238 nucleotides) under uncultured bacterium. Its description in RNAcentral is "partial 16S ribosomal RNA". It matches the Rfam family "Bacterial small subunit ribosomal RNA", at positions 118 to 353 of the family's 1533-position model. The record is from RNAcentral.
UGAGCAAUCUGCCCUUCUCUUUGGAAUAAGCGUUGGAAACGACGUCUAAUGCCGAAUACGACCUCCUUUCGCAUGAUCGGAGGUGGAAAGCUCCGGCGGAGAAGGAUGAGCUCGCGGCCUAUCAGCUAGUUGGUGUGGGUAAUGGCCCACCAAGGCGACGACGGGUAGCCGGCCUGAGAGGGUGACCGGCCACACUGGGACUGAGACACGGCCCAGACCUCCCGUACGGGAGGNAGCG